This is an RNA transcript of Mirounga angustirostris (Northern elephant seal), 2702 nucleotides long. It is a transcript of the gene named FAST kinase domains 3, with no coding region annotated. Lineage: Eukaryota; Metazoa; Chordata; Mammalia; Carnivora; Phocidae. The record is from RefSeq and is a predicted model, not a curated record. The transcript has 6 exons.
UUGCGCAUGCGCCGGGCUGCUGGGGGGGUGGGGCCGGCUACGGAAUGCGCGUACGGAGGCCCGCGAGGUUCCGGGGCUCGGCGCUGCUCGGAGCUCCGGCUGUCCGAGCGCGUUAUAAAUCAAGAAGAGUUGAGAAUCUGAUGGCAUGGCUUUAAUUACCUUGCGGAGGAACCUUUGCCAUUUGUCUGAUUUUCGGAUCCACGGAGCUCUGGCUGCUUUGAAAAAUCAUCCUGUAAUUCAUGUUCACAAGGUUUCCGAGGAGCGUCUGUGUCCGUGGUUCUGUUCACCACAGUCUGAGCCUUUCAGGGUCAGAUUCCAUCAUGGCUGUUGUAAAAAGUUCCAUUCAGAAAAUGGAAAUGACCUUCAUCCCGUUGGUGAGCCGGUGUUCUCUCAAGCACAUGAUUGGGAUAGGCCUGAACAAAAUCUUAAAAGUGUGGAUGAACAGAUGUUUUACAGGAGACUGAACAGCUUCACCUCAUCAGAAGAAGUGUUAAGUUUUAUAAGCACACUGCAAACUUUGCCUGCUACUCUAGCAGCAGGAGCCUUACAGCGGAUUUGUGAAGUGGAAAAAAAAGAUGGUAGUCAAAAGUUGCCAAAAGAAAUACUAAAGAAUAGUGUCUUUCAAGCCUUAUGCAUUCAGUGUGAACAGGAAUCCUCAGGUCUGCCAGACGCCGUUUUGGUGACUGCUUUGCAAGCCCUGACUCUGUUGCAGGUGGAUCCCCACAGUAGCUUGUUACUGAACCUGGUGACAGAAUGCCAUUGUCGUCUCAAACGGGGUGGCCUGGAAGUUCACAGUCUUUGUAUUCUUGGGGAAAGUCUGAUUAAACUGCAAGGUCCAGGCUGUGCUACGCUAGAACUGAUUAUAUGUCAACUGAAAAGUGAAAAAUUGGAAGAAUUUACUCCUGAGGAUAUUGUGGCCCUUUAUAGGAUACUGCAGGCUUGUACUGAAAAAGUGGACCAACACCAAGCAUUUCUGAAUAAGUUAAACAACUUCUCUCUGUCGGUAGUUUACCACUUGAGUCCUACAUUGAUGAGCCAAGUGCUCAGUGCCCUCGCGGUUCUUGAUCAAACUCAGGCACUUCCUCUGGUUAUAAAAUUGGGAAAAUACGCUGUGAGGCAUAUCCCUCAUUUUACUAACGAAGAGCUCAGAAAAGUCUUAGAGGCUUUCAUAUGCUUUGGGCACAAUGACAGAUUUUUUACAAAAGCCCUAGAGCGACACGUAGCUUCAGCGUGUCUCACUUUGGAUCCUGAGGUCGUCAGCAAGGUCAUGGAGUACUGCAGUAGGAAACGGAUACUUUCAAAACCCAUCCUCGAUGCAGUGGCAGAAACCUUUGUUUGCCAAUCAGAAAAAUUUUUGCCUCAUCAGAUUUCUGAGUUAAUCGAACCAUUUGGAAAACUCAGUUAUUUGCCCCCGAAUGCCUCUGCUUUAUUUAGAAAGCUAGAAAACACGUUGCUCACUCAUUUCAAUUAUUUUCCACCCAAAACACUACUGAAAAUUCUCCAUUCUUGUUCACUAAUUGAAUGCCAUCCGGUCAACUUCAUGGCAAAAAUAUUCAGCCCCUAUUUUCUUCAAAAGCUGCAAGGUGAAGAAUUGUAUUUGGACAGACUGAGCCUUGCGCAGCUGACCCAACUGUUCUUAACCUCAGUCCUAGAAUGCCCUUUCUAUAAGGGUCAGAAACUUCUUCCUAAAUAUCAAGUGAGGUCAUUUCUUACUCCGUGCUCUUCUCUGGAGACGCCUGUGGAUUUUCAGCUUUACAAAUCUGUGAAGAUUGGACUGAUUGACCUUUUGGGAGCAAGAUUGUAUUUUGCUUCAAAAGUGUUAACGCCCUAUUGUUACACAAUAGCCUUCAGCACAGCUGGGUGCAUUGCGGUGUGGACGGAUUCAAAGCAGGAGGAGGAGGACAGGCGCGUAGUGUUUGUGAGAGCACCACACAGAGAAUGUUUCCUUUCUUCUCUCACCAGAUGUUGAAAUUAAAUUAGACGAAGAAGGAUUAGUACUGCCAUAUACAGUUGACGAAGAUGUGCAUAAAAGAUCCCCUAUUACGAGAUCGAGAUGAUAAAAUCAAGAGUGGAAUUGGUGGAGUAUUUACAGAGAAAACUAUUUCCUCAAAACGUGGGCGUUCGUUGGUAACAGGAAGGAAUGCUGUCUCUAGGACUCAGAAAGUGACGAACUUGGGUUUUCAUGGGACUCAGUACAAAAACAGAACGUACAUUGUGAAUUAGCCAUUCGUGGACUGUGGUGAUCUGGAAAGGGUCUAGUUUUCCUUACACCAUGUAUACACUUAACCAGUGGUAAAUUUUAAAUAAAUUUUUAUUUUUAUUUAAUACUAUUGUAGGUACUUUUAUACAUGAAGCAAUUGAUCAAGUACAAUAAAGGAUCGAAAUGAGUGUCAUUAUUUUUAAAUCUUUGUUUUAUGGUGGUUAUUUGCUAACUGAAAAUAUUUUUUUUCAAAACCUUUGUUUCCUCUUGUAACAAAUAUAAGGAAGAAAUCUUGUCUCCUAUUUCCCUCUUUCAUACUUGGUUAGAAGCAGUCCUAUGUGGUAAGGAGAAGGAUCAGUGGAAAAGAGACUAGGACUGUGGAAAGGAAUGCGUCAUUACAGAAUUAUGCAGAAAUAACUCCUUAGUUAGUAAGAGAAUGUUUUCCAUCAGAACGGGAGCUAUUUAUCCUUUCUUUAAGGUGUAAAGAUGUGAAAGUUAACUU